UUCACUUCUUUAUUUUAUUUAGGACUCUAAUAUGUCCAAGGUCAAUAUGGAAAUUCUUUUAGAGGUUUUCCCUUACUUUGUCCGUGUCAACAAACAAUUCGUAAUACCUCUACUUUUUCAGAACAGGUCCGAGUCAAUCCAAUUUCUCGAUUCAAUAGAAGGCCAAAGAGGCGCAUAUGGUACCCAAAUAAGACUAGGAUAGAUAUGUCAAAAGCAGGUCUAAUUACACUUGUUCCUAAUCCUAAAUAG
This 249-nucleotide ribosomal RNA is filed under the name Triticum aestivum (bread wheat). RNAcentral describes it as "partial small subunit ribosomal RNA". Lineage: Eukaryota; Viridiplantae; Streptophyta; Magnoliopsida; Poales; Poaceae. The record is from RNAcentral.